Molecule: ribosomal RNA, 1549 nt
Filed under: Triticum aestivum (bread wheat)
Lineage: Eukaryota; Viridiplantae; Streptophyta; Magnoliopsida; Poales; Poaceae
Description: partial small subunit ribosomal RNA
Source: RNAcentral
UCCGUCGACACCGCCUUUGUUGAGGUAAAGGGUUGGUUGUUGGUUGUCGGCGGGUUCCGGCUAGGUACCGCAGCCGCAGCGCCGACGACGGCGGGAAAGGGGGAGGUCGACGGGGUUGUAGAGCGGUGUGUUGGGAGGCGCGGCAGGGAGCGUCGACGUCGGAGCGGUAGGGCUCGGAGGCCACGGCGCGGAGGCGAGGUCGCCGGCAACUACGACCGCGCGGCGACGACGAGCUCCUGGCGCGGCCGCGCCACAGGUAGGCUCUCAAACAGUGCGAGCUACUCGAGGUGCGGCGGCACGCGGAGGCGCAAGCGUGGAAGAUGCUCAUGCGGGCGCCGUGACAGCCGCGGCUCAAGAUAAUCCUAGUGUCCUUUCCAGACCGUCUCUCCCUUAUACUCCGUAAUGUUUUAGCCUAAAGACCCUUAUACUAAUUAAAAGCCUCUCAGAGAACAUAUUUACCCUGUCACGGUUACAACGGUAGCAACUACAGGCGUCUCCUCGAAACAAGUUGUACGUUCAAACAACUUCUACCCCUUCUCUCUUAUCAUCAACCAUCAAAUCUGGACUUAGUCACGGAGACCGAUGGUCUACUUGACUGACCUUUCUCCGGUCCCCAUUGACUUAGUUCAGUAUGUGCCCGUAUAGAUUCGUUACAUACACAACGGUUCCUCGAGGUUUCUACGCCUGACCCGAUACGUAACCAACUGUUCAGAUUCUUCGAACGAGCAGUUACCCCACUCAAGUAAAGUAAAUCAAAGGAAUUGCACAAAAAAUGCAUAAAUCGACUAAAAUCUGGUAGGAAUCAACCAUGAACCAUCAAUCUAAUGGACGUUGUACUGUUAUAUAUGACUAUCUAACUCAAAAGUUAACAUGCUUUUGCACGAAGAAUACAAGUCCAGCUUUGUAGAUAAUAGUUUGAACAAGAAAGUGGUAAUAGACUGUUGACAUGUUGGUAUACAACUAUAUACUAGAUAAGGCCAAAUCAACUUAGUAUACUAACAACGCGUCGUCAAAAACACCUGGCUGUCUUCAUACUGUUAAUGAAGUGAAGAAUUGGGGAAACUUUAAGAACAGGGAACUACGUUAAAGAGUACAACCUGUGCUUGUGUUUAUAAACGUCCGUAUUGCCUAAACAUACAGGUACAACGGUAGUUGUUGCUCCGCCGUGUUUUCGACAUGUAGUUCUCACCUAAACACAUGCUUUCACUCCUCGGACGGGUCGUCCGAUCCGUAGAACCCGCGGGAGCUUCCGAAGAAGAAACCGAACUAUACUUCUUGCUUUGGAACACUAGAAUGGACAUUUACGAAGGAAAAUAUCAAUAUGUCAUAAUAGAUAUAUAUUAAACUAAAAUGACGGGUUAAGUUCAUCAUCAUAAAAAAAAGGAACACCUUUCUUUAUGUUAAGACUUUUAAAUUUAAUUCCUAAGAGGGGUAUCAAAAUAAACAAGACGUGUAUCAUGAGUAAUAAGUUACAUAUAAGUCUUAAGGGGGUCACCGUUUGUUACCAUGCCCUAUUAUGUCACGAUAGUUUAGAAAUAUAAGGACGGGU